This 497-nucleotide ribosomal RNA is filed under the name uncultured bacterium. Its description in RNAcentral is "partial 16S ribosomal RNA". It matches the Rfam family "Bacterial small subunit ribosomal RNA", at positions 28 to 507 of the family's 1533-position model. The record is from RNAcentral.
GAUGAACGCUGGCGGCGUGCCUAAUACAUGCAAGUAGAACGCUGAAGGAAGGAGCUUGCUCUUUCCGGAUGAGUUGCGCACGGGUGAGUAACGCGUAGGUAACCUGCCUGGUAGCGGGGGAUAACUAUUGGAAACGAUAGCUAAUACCGCAUAACAGUAGAUGUUGCAUGAUAUCUACUUAAAAGGUGCAAUUGCACCACUACCAGAUGGACCUGCGUUGUAUUAGCUAGUUGGUGAGGUAACGGCUCACCAAGGCGACGAUACAUAGCCGACCUGAGAGGGUGAUCGGCCACACUGGGACUGAGACACGGCCCAGACUCCUACGGGAGGCAGCAGUAGGGAAUCUUCGGCAAUAGACGGAAGUCUGACCGAGCAACGCCGCGUGAGUGAAGAAGGUUUUCGGAUCGUAAAGCUCUGUUGUAAGAGAAGAACGAGUGUGAGAGUGGAAAGUUCACACUGUGACGGUAUCUUACCAGAAAGGGACGGCUAACUACGUG